CCCGGAGCGGCAGCGGGGACGACAGCACGGCGACAAGGCGGAAGUCCCGCCCCACGCGCCUCAUUGGCCUGCACCCGAAGGCGGAAGUAAACCUUACCCGUCCCGGGCGUUCCAGUCUCAAACGAAGCUUCUUUGAAAUUUAACCGGAUUGGACCAUCCACGCUGAUUAUCAGUUGCCAAUUAGCCACUUUGAAGAGGCAAUGGAAAAAAAAAAAAAAAGAAGCAGUGGGUUUACUGCAAAAAAUUGCAUAAAGUCCUGAAUUAGAAUGCCAGGAGACGCUAGAUUCUGGUCCUGCUUCUGUUUCAAAAUAAGCGCCUUUACAGGUUUUACAUCCUUCGACCUCAUCUUUUAAACAAAGGAGGGGCCAGAAGGGCUAGCACAGAAAACACCUGAAGAAUACCAUUGGAUGUAACUUUUAAUUUGAUUGCUCUGGGUACACCUGAGUGACUGAAAAAGGAAUAGGAGGAAAACUCUUUCCCCAUUGUGUAUCUUUUGGGGCCUUUGAAUUUUGUACCUUGUGAACACUACUCAAAAAUUAAAUACAAAAAUGUUAAAAAUCAAAUUACAAUAAAAUAACAAAGGCCAUCAAA
Myotis brandtii (Brandt's bat) is the source of this 591-nucleotide long non-coding RNA. RefSeq lists it as uncharacterized. The transcript has 2 exons. NCBI's taxonomy places the organism in Eukaryota, Metazoa, Chordata, Mammalia, Chiroptera, Vespertilionidae. The record is from RefSeq and is a predicted model, not a curated record.